AAUAAGUGUACAAGCCAAGCAUAGACUCCAACAUAAAUUUAACCUAUACUACUAAUUCAAAGUACAAAGAAAAAGAAAAAGAAAAAUCCCUGUCAAUGUUUGGCAUCCAUCAGUAGAUGCCAUCAACGCAGAUCCUCCUUUGAGCUAUCAUCAUCCUACCCCUCUUGGGCAUCCUUAAAGUCCUUAUCAUCCUCUCGGUCAUCACCCUGUCCUCCUGAAGUUCGAGCAGCUCCAGACCCAC
RNAcentral lists this long non-coding RNA (241 nucleotides) under Vigna radiata. RNAcentral describes it as "long non-coding RNA (VRAD_LNC014217)". The record is from RNAcentral. Lineage: Eukaryota; Viridiplantae; Streptophyta; Magnoliopsida; Fabales; Fabaceae.